RNAcentral lists this ribosomal RNA (468 nucleotides) under uncultured bacterium. RNAcentral's name for it is "partial 16S ribosomal RNA". It matches the Rfam family "Bacterial small subunit ribosomal RNA", at positions 28 to 507 of the family's 1533-position model. The record is from RNAcentral.
GACGAACGCUGGCGGCGUGCUUAACACAUGCAAGUCGAACGGAAAGGCCCUGCUUUUGUGCGGUGCUCGAGUGGCGAACGGGUGAGUAACACGUGAGUAACCUGCCCUUGACUUUGGGAUAACUUCAGGAAACUGGGGCUAAUACCGGAUAGGAGCUCUUGCUGCAUGGUGGGGGUUGGAAAGUUUCGGCGGUUGGGGAUGGACUCGCGGCUUAUCAGCUUGUUGGUGGGGUAGUGGCUUACCAAGGCUUCGACGGGUAGCCGGCCUGAGAGGGUGACCGGCCACAUUGCGCCUGAGAUACGGCCCAGACUCCUAUGGGAGGCAGCAGUGGGGAAUAUUGCACAGUGGGCGGAAGCCUGAUGCAGCAACGCCGCGUGCGGGAUGACGGCCUUCUGGUUAUAAACCGCUUUCGCCUGUGACGAAGCGUGAGUGACGGUAAUGGGUAAAGAAGCACCGGCUAACUACGUG